GACGAACGCUGGCGGCGUGCCUAAUACAUGCAAGUAGAACGCUGAAGGAAGGAGCUUGCUCUUUCUGGAUGAGUUGCGAACGGGUGAGUAACGCGUAGGUAACCUGCCUGGUAGCGGGGGAUAACUAUUGGAAACGAUAGCUAAUACCGCAUAACAGUAGAUAUCGCAUGAUAGCUGCUUAAAAGGUGCAAUUGCACCACUACCAGAUGGACCUGCGUUGUAUUAGCUAGUUGGUGAGGUAACGGCUCACCAAGGCCACGAUACAUAGCCGACCUGAGAGGGUGAUCGGCCACACUGGGACUGAGACACGGCCCAGACUCCUACGGGAGGCAGCAGUAGGGAAUCUUCGGCAAUGGACGGAAGUCUGACCGAGCAACGCCGCGUGAGUGAAGAAGGUUUUCGGAUCGUAAAGCUCUGUUGUAAGAGAAGAACGAGUGUGAGAGNGGAAAGUUCACAC
This 457-nucleotide ribosomal RNA is filed under the name uncultured bacterium. RNAcentral describes it as "bacterial SSU rRNA". It matches the Rfam family "Bacterial small subunit ribosomal RNA", at positions 28 to 469 of the family's 1533-position model. The record is from RNAcentral.